UACGUAGGGUGCAAGCGUUAAUCGGAAUUACUGGGCGUAAAGGGUACGCAGGCGGCUAGGAAAGAAGGAUGUGAAAUCCCAGGGCUCAACCUUGGAACUGCAUUCUUAACUGCCUAGCUAGAGUAUGUCAGAGGGGGGUAGAAUUCCACGUGUAGCAGUGAAAUGCGUAGAUAUGUGGAGGAAUACCGAUGGCGAAGGCAGCCCCCUGGGAUAAUACUGACGCUCAGGUACGAAAGCGUGGGGAGCAAACA
Molecule: ribosomal RNA, 251 nt
Filed under: uncultured bacterium
Lineage: Bacteria
Description: partial 16S ribosomal RNA
Rfam family: Bacterial small subunit ribosomal RNA
Source: RNAcentral